RNAcentral lists this ribosomal RNA (433 nucleotides) under uncultured bacterium. RNAcentral describes it as "partial 16S ribosomal RNA". It matches the Rfam family "Bacterial small subunit ribosomal RNA", at positions 29 to 507 of the family's 1533-position model. The record is from RNAcentral.
AACGAACGCUGGCGGCAGGCCUAACACAUGCAAGUCGAGCGGACCCUUCGGGGUUAGCGGCGGACGGGUGAGUAACGCGUGGGAAUAUGCCCUUCUCUACGGAAUAGUCCUGGGAAACUGGGUGUAAUACCGUAUACGCCCUUUGGGGGAAAGAUUUAUCGGGGAAGGAUUAGCCCGCGUUGGAUUAGGUAGUUGGUGGGGUAAUGGCCUACCAAGCCGACGAUCCAUAGCUGGUUUGAGAGGAUGAUCAGCCACACUGGGACUGAGACACGGCCCAGACUCCUACGGGAGGCAGCAGUGGGGAAUCUUAGACAAUGGGGGCAACCCUGAUCUAGCCAUGCCGCGUGAGUGAUGAAGGCCUUAGGGUUGUAAAGCUCUUUCAGCUGGGAAGAUAAUGACGGUACCAGCAGAAGAAGCCCCGGCUAACUCCGUG